AUACGRACUCUGGGCACGGGAUAUCUCGGCUCUCGCAUCGAUGAAGGACCGUAGCGGAACUGCGAYACUGGGUGUGAUUUGCAGAUUCCCGUAACCCAUCGAGUCUUUUGACCGCAAGUGGCGCCCGAAGCCUUUGGUCGAGGGCACGUUUGCCUGGGUGUCACA
Molecule: ribosomal RNA, 165 nt
Filed under: Eucalyptus sicilifolia
Lineage: Eukaryota; Viridiplantae; Streptophyta; Magnoliopsida; Myrtales; Myrtaceae
Description: 5.8S ribosomal RNA
Rfam family: 5.8S ribosomal RNA
About the family: 5.8S ribosomal RNA (5.8S rRNA) is a component of the large subunit of the eukaryotic ribosome.
Source: RNAcentral